This is a long non-coding RNA of Alexandromys fortis (reed vole), 2859 nucleotides long. RefSeq lists it as uncharacterized. Lineage: Eukaryota; Metazoa; Chordata; Mammalia; Rodentia; Cricetidae. The transcript is spliced from 14 exons. The record is from RefSeq and is a predicted model, not a curated record.
AAUAAAGUCUCUUUUCCAUGGAACUUCUGUGACUUUCAGGAAGUGAGAAGUAGAAUUGAUGGAGGAAGGACAUUGGUUAAUUAUAAUAAAGAAACUGCCUUGGCCCAUUGUAUUGGAUAGAAAAUUAGGUAGGCGGAGUAUACAGAAGAGAAUUCUGGGAGAAAGAAGCUGAGUCGAGGAGUCGCCAUGAUUCUCCCACUCCAGACAGACGCAGGUUAAGAUCCUCUCUGACAGGAUUUCACAAUGCAGCCCUUGCUGGCCAGAACCCUGCCAUGUAGACCAGUCUAUCCUUGAACUCAACGGUCCUACUGUGCAGCCCAGGCCAGUCUUACUGUGUCAUCCAAGCUAGGUCAAGUUCACAGUCCUCCUGCCUGGACUGCCCAGGUGCUGGCAUUAGAGUGGCCAUCAUUUCCUGGGGAAUCAUGACUGUCCUGUCUGCUCUACUGGGGACUCAUGACUGUCCUGUCUGCUCUACUGGGGACUCAUGACUGUCCUGUCUGCUCUACUGGGGAAUCAUGGCUGUCCUGUCUGCUCUACUGCAAUCAACGAGGUCACCAUGGAAAGCUGAUGACUGUCACCUUCUCAGACAUCCUGCCAUCUCCUCCCUGUCCUUACCUCUAAGGACACAUGGCUGUCUGCACAGAAGAGAGGUGCCAGGGAUGCAGUUGGAGGGACAUGCCACACUGUCAAAGCAUUUCUUCUUUGGGUUUCUAGACUCAGGUCUAUGUUUUAUAAAACUAAAGACAUGGUGCCUUUGGUUCUCUCUUCCAGUCUGAUGGGAAAUUGAAGAAGGAAGGGGGAGGGAGCAGAUUGUUCAAGUUAGGAGCCAACAGCACAGUUUAAACUACUUUAGAAAUAAAAAGGAGACAUUGAAAACUUCCACUUUUGCCUGCCUACCGUAGCAUAAAACCACAGCCAUUAGUUCAGAAAUGAGCAGGGGUAGAAAUAAAAUAUUAAUGGAGCUGCCAGGAGAGCGAAGAGACCGCAGCUCGCUACCACCAUCUUGUAAGAUCUUCAGAUCUGCUUGAAGAGACUGCAGCUCGCAACCAGCUUGUAUGGCACAGACUUUAAGAGCUUCAGAUCUGCUUGGGAGACAGACGAACUGAAUAAACACAUUUCAAAAUCAUCACUUCAGAGGAAAAGGGCCUAUUUUGGUCCAUAGUCCCACAUGGUGGAGAACGCCGCUGGAGCUGGAGGCAGCUGGUCACAUUGCGUCUGCCAUCGAGAAGCUGAGGGAAAUGAGUGUACAUGCUCAGAUAUCCAGCCCAGGCAAUCCUGCCACCCAAUUUUAAGGAAAAAAAUGUACUCAAUUUCUCUGCUUGGAAGUCUACACAAAAUAACCGUUCUGUGACUGUUGGUGCAACCAUGCCAUGACUGUUAUGGGGCAGUCUGCUGCUUUCUAAUUGGAUUGAUGGUUCAUUCCUCAGGAGGGAAUUCACACCAGAUACUGUAAACCUGACCAGAAGAUAGUUCCAUGCUUUUUGACCAGAAACUAUGAGAUAAAAUAUUUGUGAUAUCAUGGGAAACCAGCACAAACCUAGCUGCUGAAUUAGACUAAAGAUACCAUUAACUGAUGCUAUACACUGCCCAUUGUGAAGACCCUGAAAUACUGAUGCUGUAAGCCACCCAUCGCGAAGACUCUGAAAUACUGAUUCUCAGUGUUCAGUGUUCUGUGAAGACAUCAGAGUUCCUGCACGUGUUGUGACAAUGAAAACAUCUAAUAGCAUCUUUGGAUCAAGUCAUACUAGUGCCCUUCAAGUCACCUAGUUACGGUGACAAAUGGAACAGCUAGGGACAACGUGUUGAGAAGUGACCUGGGAGUCCUUGAUGCAGAGAUCAUGAAGACAAAAGGCGGUUCUUAGGUGUCAAGCGAUUCCACAUUGACUCUUGUCACGGGGGAAACAAUUUAGCCUCUGCCUGUGAAGAUGCUCCUCCACAUAUGACGGGUUAUGUCCCAACCAACCCCCUGGAAGUAGAGAUGCUUGGCCUUCCAAAUGGUAACUUAGCAACAGACGACGUUAUGCAGUGUUGGAGCUCUCCUGUCACAACUGCGACCCUGAGGUUCACAGCUCCAGCCUAAUCCUGAGUCAGGAGUUUGUGACAUGCCACUAGGAAAACAUCAAACUCUAGAAGUGACUGCAGAAAAUGUGGAGGCUAUGAUAGAAAUCGACCUCCAAGAUCCUACACCUCCUGCUGCUGCAUGGACAGUCUGGAGCCAAGCGCUUCCCGUGGGUGUUUCAGGAGAGCGGCAUGUGCUAAGACACAUCCAGGUUCAGAGGUUUCUUCUCAUGAUGAGUUCAAAUCCCAUCAAACUGGCAAUGAAGAUCAAACUGGCCUUGAAGAUUAAACCCCACGAAGUCCCUGGCUGGUGAAACACAGGGUCUGUACUGAAGAACUAUGAACGGCUCCUGCUACUCUGAUUCCACAAUGAACCAAGAGAGAUCCCAUUUGUUCCUAAACCUGUUUCUGCUUGCCAGGCCCAAUUUUUAAAUCACAUAUUUUACUUAUACAUCAUGGAAGCCUGUGAAGACAGAAUUUAUUAUUGAGAAAAAACCUGGCAAAUGUAGUCUGCAUGCAUUGAAAUGAGCUAAAGAUUGGAAGAAGAAGAAAAACUAUAACACUGGCAAACUUGAUCUUAAAAGCAAUUCAGCACAGAGAAUCCUACAGAGGAUGCUGGCGUACUUGCGUCUGUGGAAGAAGCCCUGCAUCAUCUCCCCCACUGAAGCCCUGCAUCAUCUCCCCCUGCAGCUGAAGGAGAAGAGCAGGUACUUUUAUUUGCCUUUCCCUAGAGGGACGGGGGCUUCCGCUGAUCCACAUUGUCAGUCAUAGUACAUAAACGUGCUUAUAAAACAUGGGGAG